GUGUGUGAGAAAGAGAGAGGAGGGAGAGAGGAGAGAGAGAGAGAAUUUGUUUGCCCGUCACUCACCUUCAUCCACCUCUUUUAACCUCGGAUUGUGUAUUCGCGUAAUGUCUGCUUGAACUUGAUAUAUUGGAUUGGGAUUGCCAAUGUCUUGAGAUCCCAAGGCAAAUAACGAACCGAUAUAUAGUCCUUUGCAUGAAUCAUGAAUAUUUCGGAUGCAAUAGUUACCGAUGAAAACUGAACAUGCAACCCGGACGAGGAAAAGAGAAACAACGAAAACAAAAAGAAAAAGUUGAAGAAAAAGAAAAAGAAAAAAGAGAAGAAAAAAACAGAAACACGUAUAUCAAACUCGUUAACUUAUUUACAGAAAAUCUCUGACGUUAUACGCCUGCGUCAUAACGUAUCCCGAUAUUUAAUAAUCUAAUGGAGAGUUCCCUUUCUGACUACCAGAGUCUAAAGGGAACACCCAAAAGCCCACCCGUGGACUCAUAUACAACUGAAAAGUUCAAAAAGGAAGUAUUGUACAGGUUCAUCCAUAGAACAAUGUCUUGAGCCCAAAUACCUAGAACAGCCCAUCACAAUAGGCGCUGAUAAACAAAGUGGA
This 603-nucleotide small RNA is filed under the name Histoplasma ohiense. RNAcentral's name for it is "hypothetical lncRNA". The record is from RNAcentral. Lineage: Eukaryota; Fungi; Ascomycota; Eurotiomycetes; Onygenales; Ajellomycetaceae.